RNAcentral lists this transfer RNA (73 nucleotides) under Cavia porcellus (domestic guinea pig). It matches the Rfam family "tRNA". Rfam says of the family: Transfer RNA (tRNA) molecules are approximately 80 nucleotides in length. The record is from Rfam by way of RNAcentral. Lineage: Eukaryota; Metazoa; Chordata; Mammalia; Rodentia; Caviidae.
GGGGUUGUAGCACAGUGGCAUAAGCAUCUGCCUGGCAAGCUGAAGGCCCUGAGCUACAUUCUCAGUACUCCCC